RNAcentral lists this ribosomal RNA (253 nucleotides) under uncultured bacterium. RNAcentral describes it as "partial 16S ribosomal RNA". It matches the Rfam family "Bacterial small subunit ribosomal RNA", at positions 524 to 776 of the family's 1533-position model. The record is from RNAcentral.
UACGUAGGGGGCGAGCGUUAUCCGGAUUUACUGGGCGUAAAGCGCGUUAAGGCGGUUGGCAAAGUUGGUUGUGAAAUCUCAGGGCUCAACCCUGAAAUUGCGACCAAUACUGGUCGACUAGAGUGCAAGAGAGGAAGGUGGAAUUCCCGGUGUAGUAGUGAAAUGCGUAGAUAUCGGGAGGAACACCAGUGGCGAAGGCGGCCUUCUGGCUUGCAACUGACGCUGUAGCGCGAAAGCGUGGGGAGCGAACCGG